This 88-nucleotide transfer RNA is filed under the name candidate division WS1 bacterium. RNAcentral describes it as "tRNA-Leu". It matches the Rfam family "tRNA". Rfam says of the family: Transfer RNA (tRNA) molecules are approximately 80 nucleotides in length. Their secondary structure includes four short double-helical elements and three loops (D, anti-codon, and T loops). The record is from RNAcentral. Lineage: Bacteria; Bacillati.
GCCGGGGUGGCGGAAUGGCAGACGCACGGGACUUAAAAUCCCGGGGGGCAUAAGCUCCGUGAGGGUUCGAAUCCCUCUCCCGGCACCA